CCCUCAGUAACGGCGAGUGAAGAGGGAAGAGCCCAGCACCGAAGCCUGUGGCCGUUUGGCCCCUAGGCAAUGUGGUGUUCAGGUUGGCUCGCGGGGAUGCUGCUCCACCCUAAGUCCUAAAAUGAGUAAGGUUACUCGGACGUGGCCCAAUGAGGGUGAAAGGCCCGUGGGGGUGGAGAGUCAGAAUGGCCAGUAUCUCCCUGAGCAGACCUUGGAGUCGGGUUGUUUGUGAAUGCAGCCCAAAGCGGGUGGUAAACUCCAUCCAAGGCUAAAUACUAGCACGAGUCCGAUAGCGAACAAGUACCGUGAGGGAAAGUUGAAAAGUACUUUGAAGAGAGAGUAAACAGUGCGUGAAGCCGUUCAGAGGUAAACGGGUGGAGUUGAACUGCAAGCUCUGAGGAUUCAACUGGUAAGAAUGGCGUGAACUUGAUCACGUGGGUUGGUUGCUGUGUCUGCUUAGCUGCAGGUCCUCGCCUCGGUGGGGAUUCGCGUCUAGCUUAUCAAGCUCUGCGUGCACGGUCUUUGACGAGCCCGCUUGCCAGUGCACUUUCUCGGAGUGUUCACCACGACCGGCGUUGCUGUCUGGCUGAUGUGGUUAAACCGGUCUUGUAGGGUCCUUGUGGCCUUGCUUGGUCGGGAUGGCAGGUAGCCCGUUGUGUAUUUAUAUGCUUCGGGUGUAAUAGCCGACUGCAUCGGUUCUGUGCGGUACGUCGGAGACGGCGGCUUGUUGUGCGUGCGGGCGUGCCUGUGUGCUGGCGGCUCUGGGUCUGGUUGCCUUGUUGCUUGCGUAAGCAGGCCAGGUGAUGGCUCGGGGUCGUUUGGUGUGCGGUUGCGUUCGUGGCACUUUGAAGGGCCAACAGUCUGUGGUGUAGUGGUAGACUAUCCACCCGACCCGUCUUGAAACACGGACCAAGGAGAGUAACAUGUGCGCGAGUCAUUGGGCGUUACGAAACCCAAAGGCGUAGUGAAAGUAAAGGUUCGGCUUGUCUGGACUGAGGUGAGAUCCUGCCGUUUCUCACGCAUGGUACUAUCAAGCAUCGAGCGGCGGGCGCAUCACCGGCCCGUCCCAUGACGUAGUGGUGGCUUCGGCUUGCCCAUCGUCGGGGCGGAGCAUGAGCGUACAUGUUGAGACCCGAAAGAUGGUGAACUAUGCUUGCGCAGGUUGAAGCCAGAGGAAACUCUGGUGGA
This 1188-nucleotide ribosomal RNA is filed under the name Neopetasiger sp. VVT-2015. Its description in RNAcentral is "eukaryotic LSU rRNA". It matches the Rfam family "Eukaryotic large subunit ribosomal RNA", at positions 77 to 871 of the family's 3401-position model. Lineage: Eukaryota; Metazoa; Platyhelminthes; Trematoda; Plagiorchiida; Echinostomatidae. The record is from RNAcentral.